Dreissena polymorpha is the source of this 855-nucleotide long non-coding RNA. RefSeq lists it as uncharacterized. The record is from RefSeq and is a predicted model, not a curated record. NCBI's taxonomy places the organism in Eukaryota, Metazoa, Mollusca, Bivalvia, Myida, Dreissenidae. The transcript has 3 exons.
GUGCAUAUCAUCUGCAUACUUUUGAUUGGUUGAUAGUUUUUGUUUUGAAAACAAGCCACUUUUGAUUGGUUUAGGGCACAGGAAGUAAAUUUGUUUAAACAAGCAGGUGUCAGCAACUGAUAAUGAGCUACAUUUUUAGACAUGAUUUAGCAAAUUAAGAUUUUAAAUUGUACUUGUAGUGUCAAAUGUCUUGAAAUACUGUCAGCAUGAAGUAUUGUGUGAUGAAAACAAAGUGUAUUUACAACAAUGUAGUAAAUCAAAGGAGGUCCAAAGUGGCUGGAUACUGAAGAACAGUUGUAACAGGUAAAACUCUUGCCCCAAGGAAAGAAUGUGCAUUAUCACCUGCUAAAAAAGGAAGAAACAGGGGGAUACUGACUGAUGUAUGGACUUUAACACCAGGUUUUUACCCUUCAAGAGUUGGCCAACUAGAGUGAAGCAGGAGAGUGGGCUGUGCUUGACUAAGAAAAGCUGGAUUUGUUGAGAGAUCAAUACGCAUUCAAGAUCCUUAAGAAGAGAAGGACACAAGCAACAUCAGUGGUAGAUGUCACUCCAGCCCCUGCUUUUCCGGUCUCGCCUGCUGCUUUCCAGGUCCCUCCAGCUGCCAAGAUCAGGUCUAGGCACUGGCUGCCAUCCAGGUCCCCCUGGCGGUUGCGGUCGUGUUCUCAAAUGGCUGCUGUACUGGACUACUGGUCCCACCACCAUAUUCGGUCAAGGUCUCUCCAAAUGCUGAAGUCCAGGUUCCUCCGGCCACUGCGGUUCAGGUACCCCCAACAGCUGUGACCUAGUUCUCUGCAGCAGCUGCGAUCUAAAUAUAUUGACCCACUGCGGAACACUGCGUUUAUCGUUUUUUCCAUA